GUGAGACAUCACGGUGAUGGCAGGGGCAGAGGAUGUCACUCUCCUGCUCUGCGCCUUGUGCCCUGUGUUCCUCCCUGACAUGCGUGGCAGGAGACUUCCAGUUGCAAGCUUGGACCCCAGGAUUCAUCAGGAUGACCAAAGGAAGACAGAAACAAGUGUGUUUUCCAGUUCCCUGUGGGUCUUCUGCCUUUGUUGCCUGUUGAGCCCUUUACUGGUGACAUAUGUGACUUUUCAGGGCCACUGUAAACAACUUAUUUGGAGGACUGUCUACAUUGGUUACAUCCACAGACCCACAUGGCUUAUUCUACUAUCACAAUAAACAUCUACAUCUUCUGAAAGGAAAACGAGCCUUGUUGGGUCUGGACUGGGUGUCCUGAAAAUGUGGGCCCCUGAGACAUGUGGACCCUUCAUGGGCUGUUUUGGCUGUCAUGAGCAUUUGGUCCCCUGGUUCCAGCCACUCUUGAUGUUUGGUUACUAAGGACAUCAACUGGGUUCAUGAAUAUCCUUCCUAGAAUCUUAUAGCUAAAAGUGGUACUGUAGCAAGUCACAUAACAGCAAUACACCACAAGAAAGAAAUUAGAAGUGCACAUUCUAAAGAACAAGAAAGUAUAGAAUUUGGUAUCUCUAGCUCCACAUUGGUCCUCUGGCCUUAAAGGUAAGAGCUAUCAUAGUUAGAAAGAAGAAAGUUUCUAAAAUUGUGACCCCCACCACCAGU
RNAcentral lists this long non-coding RNA (715 nucleotides) under Chinchilla lanigera (long-tailed chinchilla). RNAcentral describes it as "lncRNA (ENSCLAG00000022327.1)". Lineage: Eukaryota; Metazoa; Chordata; Mammalia; Rodentia; Chinchillidae. The record is from RNAcentral.